RNAcentral lists this ribosomal RNA (523 nucleotides) under uncultured bacterium. Its description in RNAcentral is "bacterial SSU rRNA". It matches the Rfam family "Bacterial small subunit ribosomal RNA", at positions 30 to 518 of the family's 1533-position model. The record is from RNAcentral.
CGAACGCUGGCGGCGUGCCUAAUACAUGCAAGUCGAGCGCGGGAAGCAGGUUGAUCCUCUUCGGAGGUGACAUCUGUGGAACGAGCGGCGGAUGGGUGAGUAACACGUGGGCAACCUGCCUAUAAGCUCGGGAUAACUCGCGGAAACGCGAGCUAAUACCGAAUAAUACUUUGCUUCGCAUGAAGCAAAGAUAAAAGAUGGCUUUUUGCUGUCACUUAUAGAUGGGCCCGCGUCGCAUUAGUUAGUUGGUGAGGUAAAGGCUCACCAAAGCAACGAUGCGUAGCUGACCUGAGAGGGUGAUCGGCCACACUGGGACUGAGACACGGCCCAGACCCCUACGGGAGGCAGCAGUAGGGAAUCUUCCGCAAUGGACGAAAGUCUGACGGAGCAACGCCGCGUGAGUGAUGAAGGUCUUCGGAUCGUAAAACUCUGUUGUCAGGGAAGAACAAGUACUAGCCGAAUAAGUUAGUACCUUGACGGUACCUGACCAGAAAGCCCCGGCUAACUACGUGCCAGCCGCUGC